UACGUAGGGGGCAAGCGUUGUCCGGAAUCAUUGGGCGUAAAGCGCGUGUAGGCGGCUUGGUAAGUCCGCUCUGAAAGCCCGGGGCUCAACCCCGGGAGGCGGGUGGAUACUGGCAAGCUCGAGUCCGGAAGAGGCGAGUGGAAUUCCUGGUGUAGCGGUGAAAUGCGCAGAUAUCAGGAGGAACACCAAUGGCGAAGGCAGCUCGCUGGGACGUGACUGACGCUGAGACGCGAAAGCGUGGGGAGCAAACAGG
RNAcentral lists this ribosomal RNA (253 nucleotides) under uncultured bacterium. Its description in RNAcentral is "partial 16S ribosomal RNA". It matches the Rfam family "Bacterial small subunit ribosomal RNA", at positions 524 to 776 of the family's 1533-position model. The record is from RNAcentral.